AUGAAUAUCUUCAGGAAGUUUGGCUUUAAGAAGAACUCCAAGGGUGUUAUUGGGGAGUCUUUGGACAAUGAUCUCCACCCUCGGAGGUUGGCGGAAGUACGACCAUGCGAAUGGCCGCACACCCCGUUCCUGCAAGAGGCUGGAAUUCUUGAGGAGUUCAUGCAAUAUAUUACUAAUGUCGGCCUCACCGACUUCAUCGCAGAUGAGUGUGACGAGCACCAUAUCCUCACAAACAACUUUGUUCACAGCUUUACUUUCUUGCCUAGAAAUAAUCCUCCUGAAGUGAGCUUUGAUUUAUAUGCCGAAAACCAUCAGAUACCACUUACUGAGUUUUGUGACAUAUGCAUGAUCCCUUCUAAUGGGAGCUUUGUUGAGCCUAGGCUGGUCGAAUUUGAGGACUUUUACCGCACUCUAACAGCGGGUGAUAAGAUAGGAGUGUCAGCCAUCACUUCCCAUGGCUUACAUUUUCCCGUUGUUCAUUACUUUGCACUUUUUAUUGCUAAAUGCUUGCUUGCUAGGGAGAAGGUGGGUGCACUUAGUUCACCAGACCUUACUGUUUUAUGUCGUGCAUUAGAGGGCGACAACACUUAUAGCUUGGGAGCUAUUGUGGCUCGUCGCCUCCACCUUAAUAAAUCUAAGGGAAAAUACAUGGUGGGAUUUAUGCUACUCGUUUGGCGGCUCACUUAG
This 687-nucleotide ribosomal RNA is filed under the name Triticum aestivum (bread wheat). RNAcentral describes it as "partial small subunit ribosomal RNA". Lineage: Eukaryota; Viridiplantae; Streptophyta; Magnoliopsida; Poales; Poaceae. The record is from RNAcentral.